UCACUCACUCCCAUUCUAAGCCACCUCCAGCUUCUUCAAAAAACCUGUUGAGCAAAUUCUCUCUCUUUUUUUUUUCUAAAGGAAAUAGUUCACUGGCUGCCUGGAACAGGUUUGACUGUGCCUUCUGACGUUUGGCUCAGUCUUUAGAUGGUUGUUAAACACCCUGAAAAAAAAAAUUGCCUGGAAAAACUGGUCAUGUCAGGUGAGGGUUGCAUUCCUCUGUGAUUGUAUAGGUAUGGCUUGGUAGCAGAUAGUUGCAUAUAUAAAGGAGUGUCCUUGUUGUUGUCAAGCUCAGAAAAGCUCAUUCUGCAGCAGAGCAGCUUGGCACACAGGUGUGUCUGGGAUCUGAAUGCUGCUCGUCCACAUUACACAUUGGGAGGAGGCCGUACCCGCCCUGAGUCUCCUGGAACUUGUACUCAUACUUCACUGCCUGCCUGGCUUAGUGGUUCUUAACAGUUCAACAGUUCUCUAUCGAAAUUGUGAAAUGUUUAGGACCACUUGAUCAGAAAGGCAAGCUCUUCAGUACGUGGAAACCAUGCAAAGCCUCCUCUGCGACAGCGUGUCACCAGGAUUAAUGUUUUUCAUCAGGAACUGGACAGAUUCAGAAAUGCUAAUCUAAAAAUGUAAAACAAUGUCAAAUAAAGCGUCAAUUUUUUUUGUGUAGGUAUAAGUACAUGUAUAGGUAUUUGUAUAUACUGGCCACAUAACACAACAAUAACAUAUAGAAAUAAACAUUCCUUCACACACUCAGACAACUGGGAAAGAAAAAAAAAAA
Long non-coding RNA from Rana temporaria (common frog), 775 nucleotides. RefSeq lists it as uncharacterized. The transcript has 2 exons. The record is from RefSeq and is a predicted model, not a curated record. Lineage: Eukaryota; Metazoa; Chordata; Amphibia; Anura; Ranidae.